AUGAACAAAAGAAACAAGUUGAAUGCAUCAGGAGCUUAUAGUUCUCCAACCCAGGCAAUAGAUGAGGAAGGUGAACUUCAACGACCCCCCGGACGCAACACUUCAAAAGACACAAAAGAUAAACAUAAGUCAUCAAGCAAGUCUAAAUGCUCUGGAAGCUUGACAAGUGAGAGCGUGGACAAAUUUAAUGAGAUUCAACUACGAAAAUCAAUUGCUGCAGAGAAAAUGGCCGAUGCCACCCUUAUUCAAGCAGAAGCCACAAAAGUUCAAGCAGAAGCUGAGAAAGAAAGAGUUGAAACUGAGAAGGAGAAGAUAAAGGUGGACAAACUGAACAAAUACCUUGAUCUUCUUCACAAAGAUACUUCAGCAUACUCAAGUGCUGCAAGGUACAGCUCCAGAGGUUCACUUUGA
RNAcentral lists this ribosomal RNA (411 nucleotides) under Triticum aestivum (bread wheat). Its description in RNAcentral is "partial small subunit ribosomal RNA". The record is from RNAcentral. Lineage: Eukaryota; Viridiplantae; Streptophyta; Magnoliopsida; Poales; Poaceae.